RNAcentral lists this long non-coding RNA (1616 nucleotides) under Sus scrofa (pig). Its description in RNAcentral is "lncRNA (ENSSSCG00050013234.1)". Lineage: Eukaryota; Metazoa; Chordata; Mammalia; Artiodactyla; Suidae. The record is from RNAcentral.
CCCCGCCCGCGCGCGCCCCCCCCCGGAGGGGGGGGCGCGGCGGGGGGGGGGGGGGGGGAGUCGAGGAGGGGCCGCGCCCGGUCCUCGCCCGCAGCGGGCACCGCCGGGGGCCCCGGGAGGCCUUGUUGGUAUUCCGGGCACAGCAGAAGCCCUGACCUCCCCGCGGAACAGGGGCGCCCGGGAGCGCGGCGCGGCCGCCGCCCCCGGGCGGUCUCCCCGGACUGCGGGGCCGUAGGCGCCUUGCUCCCCCUCCUCCCUGUCCCCUCCUCUCCAGGUCCCCCGUACCCCCUCCCCCGGCCUGAUCCGGCGGCGAAGGGGUGGGCAGGGAAACGCGCUCUCUGGGACAGGUGCCAACUCCGAGACAAAAGACAUAAAAUAGGCGGCAACGGGGGAAGCGCGGCCGGCGCGCUCGGGCGGGGACGGAGGCGCCGCGGGGGCCGCAUCCUCGGUGCCGACCGGGGAAAGUUUGGGAAGUCGCCGCGGCGGCUUCGCAGCGGCGGGGGACACGCGGGCCGGGCCGCCCUCCGCGCCGCGCUCGCCCUCUCCGCGCCGCUGCUGAAUAAUUCAUGGCGCGGCCGCCGGCCAUUAGCAUGCACCGGGCGCGCGGCGCGUCUGUGCCCAGCCGUCGCCGCCGCAUUCGGCGCCCCGGCCGCGCUAGACGAGCGGCCGCGCAGAGGCCGGGCCCGCGCCGUCCCCGCGCUCGCCCGCCCGUCCGCCCGUCCGCCCACCCGGCGGCUCCCAUUGUGCCCCAGGCCCGCGCCGCUCCGCCGUCCUGUGACCGCCUGCGCCCCGCAGCGCGCCCGACGGCCGGCCGCUGGAAGUUCGGGCCCGCGGCGCACGCCCUGCCGCCCCGGGAUGCACGUGAACUUGGAGAAAGUCUCGGGGCGCGCCGGCGCAGACCUCCGCGGCAGGGCGUGGGCGCCCCUGGCCCCGCGCGCUUUCGUUUUCGUCUGGGACAAAGGUCCCUCGCGGCGCAGGUCGCGGACGUGGAGGCAGUGCCCUGCGGGCCACUCAGCGGGGAGGUCCGGUCGUUCAGUCAAGGGAAGCCGGAGCCUGGAGAAGACGAGCCGCGCGGUCGGAGGCGCGGUGCGGGACCAGGACAGUGGGGCCUGGCCGUGCGCUUCGCCCUGGCGGUCCAGGAGCUGUCUCGCCCUCCGAAGAGUUACGGGAGGUGGCACUGCUUUUGCUCUCUGCCCUUUCGACACGUGAAGGAGAGAAUCAUUCGGAACCCAGGACUCAGACCGGUGGCCGAGGGCCUGUGCAGCCGCGAGCACGACAGCGCAGCGCUGGCCGCGUCCGCGCGCGUUCCUCCGACAAGGGCAGAGCAGUCGACCAGCGCGCCCCAGUCUCGAUCGGGUUCAAGGCGACUCUUGAGGACGGUGUGGGGCUUUGAAAGUACAAUCCUGCAUGGCCUUACUGUGAAUGGAUGGGCACUUUGUCUCGGUCCGGAUGCAGGAGUCCUGCCUUUAGAGGCAGCUCAGAAGCCCUGUGGAUGGAUCGUACGAGCGCCCCGGCCCAGCCCACUUGCAGCCAGUGGUAGGAGGCUUGCCGAGCAGAGAUGUGACCGGCCGAGACUGCGGUUAUUAUCGCCAAAUGAGACUGGUAGUUGUGGUUAG